RNAcentral lists this long non-coding RNA (2646 nucleotides) under Homo sapiens (human). RNAcentral describes it as "non-protein coding lnc-WNT4-1:7". Lineage: Eukaryota; Metazoa; Chordata; Mammalia; Primates; Hominidae. The record is from RNAcentral.
AUCUAUAUGCAGCAGACAUGGUGCUAGGACUCCACACGUCCUCUCAGUAAAUCCCAGGAGACAGGACCCCAGAGGCAUUGCUCUCAUUCAGUGCUCUCGCCUCCCUCCUGGAUUGCCUAGUCAGAGUGAGACAUGGAGAGGGGCUGAUGUAACCACCCCAGCAGGAGUAAGGAGGCUGGAAGGAGGAAACCAGUGAUGAAGGAUUUGCCAUAACCUUGUCCUGGAUGGAGAGCCAUGGCCAAAGUGGGUGGAGAGGAAUGGCCAUGCAAGGCAGCUGUGAUGGAUUCACCUCUGUGCAAGACAGCUAUGACGGAGUUGAUAGAAAGUGUGAGAACAUGGGCCACCCCUCCUUGGAUGUUUUCUUUCCAGAUUGGAAUGGUGUGAUUCUAAGAGUCCUGGGACAGAAGGAGUAUUGGAGGUGUCAAGGGGCUGGACCGGUGAGGACAGGAGUCGAAUGUGCCCCUGAUCUCUGUCCCUCUCCUCGGGGCUGCAGCCCUUGUGACAUCGAAGUGCCCCACCCCCUCCUUCGGCUUCCCUCGCUGCUGCGCAGAGGCCACUGGAGGGCGCUGUCUCCUCACACUUCUGGCUGAGCUCACCUCCGCUGUCUGAACCUCCUUUUGAGGCUGGAGAGAAAUUGAGAGGCCUGGAGCCAGUGUCUGGGAGGCCUCUGGACACAGCUGGACCCACCGAGGCCACAUGGGGUCAGUAGGAUCUGAGCCUGUGGAAGGAGGUGCCAGAGCAAUGACUAGGAGUCAAAGUCCUGGGCUUCAGGGCGAGGGCUUGUGGUGAGCUCUGGACAAAUGGCUUUGUCUGUUCGAUCCUCAGUUUUUGUAUCUGCAGACUGUGGAGAGUGACCCACCUUAUGGCACUGUUGUGAGAAGUGCUACAAAUGAGAAUGUACAUGUGAGUGCUUCAAAGAACUCAGAUGUUCUCCAUGCCAGAGUGGGUUUUAUUUAUUUAUUUAUUUUUUGAUGGAGUCUUGCUCUGUUGCCCAGGCUGGAGUGUGCAAUGGUGCAAUCUUAGCUCACUGCAACCUCUGCCUCCUGGGUUCAAGGAAUUCUCCUGCCUCAGCCUUGCCGAGUAGCUGGGAUUACAGGUGCACACCACCACACCCAGCUAAUUUUUGUAUUUUUAGUAGAGAUGGGGUUUCACCAUGUUGGCCAGGCUGGUCUCAAACUCCUAAACUCAAAUGAUCCACCUGCCUAGGCCUCAAAAAGUGCUGGAAUUACAGGCAUGAGCCAUCUCACCUGGCUAAUUUUUAUAUUGUUAGUAGAGAGAGGGUUUCACCAUGUUGACCAGGCUGGUCUCAAACUCCUGACCCCAGAUGAUCUGCCCGCCUCUGCUUCCCAAAGUGCUGGGAUUACAGGCAUGAGCCACCGUGCCUGAUCCGCCAGAGUAGGUCUUGAUGGUUAUCACCCUUGAAGAAUCAUCCAGUAACCCAAGGAGAAGAUCAUUUGGCUAGGGCCCCGUAUGACCUUCAAACUGGCAUAGGCACUGAACUGUUCCUUACGUUCUCACAACAGCCCCAAGAGGUAUGAAUUAUUAUCAUCUCCAUUUCAUAGCUGGGAAAACCCAGGCUCAGAGAGGCGCCAUAGCUCCCCCUGGGUCACCCAGCCACUGGGUGGCCUUACCGGAAUUCAGACCCAGGUCUGUUUGGCUCCAUAGACUUGCUUAAACUACUGGACUGUCCCGCACUGGCCCAUGCCAAGUCAGGAAAGGGUUUGAUGUGACCUACUAAAGUCCCUCGGGCUGAGGUUUCAGCUGAGUGUCCUUUAUUUAGUCCUUUGGAGGUGUGGACCCGUAUGUCUUUGGUAUGGAUCCACAUUUCAGUGGGGUCAGUAACUCCCUGGAUUGGUUUUGCCAUUUUUUUUUCUCCCCUUGGACUUAUACGCAUGAUUCUUCCCCCUCCCUGGGAAGCAGAGCUGGCCCUGUGACAUAGGUGGCUUUACCUGCAGCUUGACCUCUUUACCUCUUUUUUUUUUUUUUUUUUUUUUGAGAUGGAGUCUCACUCUGUUGCCCAGGCUGGAGUGCAGUGGUGCAAUCUCGGCUCACUGCAACCUCUGCCUCCUAGGUUCAAGUGAUUCUCCUGCCUCAGCCUUCCCAGUAGCUGGGACUACAGGCGCACACCACCACACCUGGCUAAUUUUUGUGUUUUUAGUAGAGAUGGCGUUUCACCAUGUUGGCCAGGCUGGUCUCGAACUCCUGACCUCUCUCAGGCGAUCUGGCCGCCUUGGCCUCCUAAAUUGCUAGGAUUACAGGCAUGAGCCACGGCACCCGGCAACCUUCUCAUAUGAGUGGCAGAUGGGUGGAAGAGGCUGGACUUAUGUCCAUUCACAGGCUCCCCACCCUGGUCAGGGUGCAGGGUAUUUGCUGUGCUGGAGGACAUACCUCCAUGUUAAAAUGCCCAGUUGAAGCCUUGUAGCUUUUUUCACUUCUUAUUUUCUAUCUUGAUGAAAGAUUGUGCUGUCGGCAGGGUUGUAGUUAAGUCGAAGUGUGGCUUUGUUUUCACAAUUUCUGUUCACUUUCCUCCCACUCUUAGGCAGCUUGAGAAGGGUGGAGGGGUGGGGAAGGAGAGUGACAGUGGGUGCUGGAAUCUCCCAGCCUGGGGGGUUCUUGAAGUUCCACAGUCAUGGAAUUGUGGCGCUG